AAGGAAAAAUGUAGUGCUUGUGAUGUUUGUCACUAUAACUCACCUAACACUAAAUACAGUGGAGAGCCUUAACGUAUAUGAACACCGCAGUUCAUACUUUUAUCGUUCUUGUUAACAUGAAUUGAUUCUCCAAGUUCGUUCCAUGACUGAGUUAGACGUAGAUGUGAUUUUAAAAAGUUUUAUUAAUGCAGAUAUAUUAUGUGGAACGUACAAAAACAAAGAUCAGAGCAAAAGGGGUUAAGCAGUAGCAAUCAAUCAAUAAAACCAACAAAAGAUGUAAUCAUCCAUGACCCAAACAACUCGUAAUCAUCUUAAAAGUAUAGGUGACUUCGGAUAAGUGUUCGUUAAUUUAUGAUUGAGAUGCUUUUUGUUGUGUUUGGGGACCCAGAAGGUUUACAAGGCUUGUUUCAACAAAAAUAUGGAAUUGAAGUUCAUGCAUCUCUACAAAAGCAUGGUUAUGAGAAGCAUAAUCAAAUCGCUUAUGAAUCAAAAGGACGUUGGGGUAGAGAUACCCUAGCUACGUUGGGGUAGAGAUACCCUAGCUAGUCUGGACUCGAAGUCACUUAACAACCUUACGAGAGAUAGAUUGCUUGACCAGCAAGGUAUGUAUUGGUGAGCUGAAAUUUAGGUCAUUAGUUCUAAUCUCAUGGUUCGUGGGUUGAUAUGUACGUUGCUCCGAUGAAUGAUACUUUCAUGGGAAACUAAGUUGGAAGAGACUCUCAUAAUGAGCCAAUUCGUAGGGUUAUUGGAUAUACACCAAUGAGACCCGAAUAUGAGUGUCUAGGAAUUGGCUCUGUAUCUCAUCGAUCAACUCAAGUCAUUUGGCGGCGUCGCUCCGGCCAGACUCCUUUAUCAGACUAUAAGUAUACUUGAUUAUUGGUAUGUUGAUGUAUUGAAUUACAGAAGGAAAGCUUGAUAACAUCAACUUUUGUUUUCAGUCUGGAAAUUAAAAAUAAACCUUAUAACGAAGAACAAGCAAGAACUUUUAAAUUAACAGUGGGAUGACAUGCACAUUGGAAUUUAAAAAUAUCAAUCAAAGAUGUAAAACACUCAUUCAACAGUUUAUUACAAUGUUCUCACUUAGUCCUCAGUAUAAAGUCUUUGUUAUAAGCUCUCCCAAGGUUCCAAAUAGUGUUUAAAAUAUAGCAUUAACCAGCCAUAUCAUUCUUCUUUCUGUUAUGUCAAGGUCAAUUUGUUGCUUGUUUUGCUCAUACAUUCUGAGUUCAACAAAUGAGAUAUGAUCUUGAACUCUUUCCUUGAAUAUUCAGUCCACCCUAGCAGAAUGGGGAGGCUUUAAGAUUCAGUUUGCGCCAAGGAAUGCAAGCACAUAAACUAGCAGCUUAUGCGUUUGAUUCUAGUGUACACCUAGACUGGUUCUCUUAUGCUGAAAUAGCGUGGUUCUCUUUUUCCCUUUUUUUUGUUUUUUUUGUCAUUUUUUUUUGUGUGCGGAGAAGGUGUGUAUGUACAGUCCAUGUGUAUGAGAAUGAGGGAAAUUAUUCCGACAAAGAGGGUGGUUGAUUAGUAACAAUAAUUUCAUCUAUUGAUUAGCAUUAGCAUUAACAAUAAUUUCAUCUAUUUCACAUUUUGCCGAGUAGCGGUUCGUAUUUCCGCGAGCAGCGUAUUCCGGCAAGCAGUGGCAGGGGAUUGCAUUUGUCGUAGUUCAAGUAGUAGCACUGAAGAGAUUUGGAGACUUUGCGGCCACGACAGAAGCAGAGCUCACGGUGGAGCUUGGCGUCAUUAAGGCGGUCAUAGUCUAGCCUAGAGGAUCCACCUUCACUUCAGCUUACUUCUCAGCAUCGACUCGAAUAAUAGCACUGUAGAAAUAUUUUUUAGGCCAGCCUAAUGUAGAAUAAUGGCACCGCCACUGACAUGCAACACUUUUGCCCCCAAAUUUCCAUUACAGAUUUUGAAAUGAUGAUUAUUCUUCUCUUUUGUUUAUCUUUUACUCGUUGCUUUAAUGAUCCAAAUUCUGUAUUCGGUUAAAAUUUCAUAUAUGUUAAGUCUAUAAGAAGUAUCACAACCCUUAAAAUAAGAAAACAAGCAAUAAUGUAUACGGCUAUCCAAUUGCAAACAAACAACUUCUCAUUCAUUAUGUCGGUCACACUACAAAAUACAUAAUGCAAUCAUAUACACCCCCUCUUUUUAAACACUAAACACUAAAAAACAGCAAAAUGAAAUACACAUGGAUCAAAUGAAUGAAUUUCACCUGCACUCCUUCGGACUAUCAUCUGUGAUAAUUAAAGCAGCAGCAGCAGCUGAGAAAUAAGAUAUAACACUCUAUAGGCAGCAUCGCAAUUAAUAUCGAUACUAACCACAGCACAUUGCUCAUCAAGAGCAAAACGCUAUACAGCAAACUAGCCAUCAUCACUGACAGUAAAACCACAAUUACCACGACAAAAAAUACCAUUAAGAAUGAAGAUAGUGAAAGUUAUGACGCAUAAGGAAAAAAGAAAAACCGGCAAAGCACUCGUGCUAAUGAAUUUGGUUUCUAGAACAAAUCAGCUUUCUUCUUUUGCAUGUCUUGCUUCCAUUUCGGGAGUUGAUAGAAAGCAUCUUUCGUCAUCCCAAAUAUGGUCUGAAAGUCUUCAUCAGAGAGAUAGGCCUGCAAAGCCAAACAGGAUGUUAAUUACCAUUUCAAAACAGAUGAUAAAGCAUAGAAACAUUUACAAAUGACCCACCUCUCUUCUCUUAAAAUCAAUUCCAGUAACUGGAUUGUCAGAUUUAGCCCUCAGUUGGUCAUAACUGAAAGUACUUUGACAGCUUUCACUGCCAUUCUCAUCCUGCUCUUGCUUUGGUUCUGAUACAGAAGAAGGUGAAACAGCAUCUAUAACUUCAGGAACUUCAUGAUCUAUAUCAGAAUACGCCUUUUCACUUUUCGUUUCAGCUGCAAAUGUAUCAGGUAUUCUAAAGUUUCAGAUAUUCAAUAUAUAUGAGGAACGACUCUAAUUAGAAUAUAUUGAGCAAUGAAGGCCCAAAAAUAGCAUCAUCAAGAAUGUAAGUUCAGUUAUCUAGGAACAUAUUAAUCGUUUCUUGAUAGGAAAGCUAAUCUGUAAUAACAAAGGGAAAUGAAAUGCAACAGGAAUGGAGAGGAGUUCGUCACACAGAGCAGUAAAUUAGAGAAGAUGAAAAUGAGCUAAUAUGAAGUGCAACCCAAUCAAAUAGGAUUCAAGUAUGAUCUUAAAUAUUUGACACUGGUGUUCAUAGAAAGGCUAAAAGUAUACCAAUUCCUCCUUGUUGCCUUCUAUUUCCAUCAGAACAGACCAAUGUGAAGUCAAGGCUACACACUGCCUUAUAUAUGUGCAUGCCCAAACAAGGAAAAAAUUAUCAACUUUGGAACACUAACAUCAUCAGAGAGAGACAAGCAUAUGAGUAGAGCACUUUCUUGGAGCACAUCACAAGUUCAGUGCACUCUGAAGGCAUAUCACAUAUCAUCCUUAUAAAUCAUCUCAUAUAACCACAAGUAAAGUUAUACCUUGUAAGUAGAGUUGAGUCUAUUUCUACUUCUAAGGAUUUUAAGAAUAAUAAUCUUUCUUCCAUAAUUCUUAACUGACAAGCAGCUUCAGUAUACCCUUUAGUAUUAACAGAUGAGCUGCCCCUUUAGUAUUUAAAGUGGACUCCAUGUCAACUGCCCUCUUUAGUACUUUCCUUUUUGUUUCAAUAGAAAGCAACAAAGUAAAAUGGAUUUGGUUGCCAAUAAGAAAAAGUAGAACUAAAUAAAAAAUAAAUAUACCAAACUCUUUUGUCGGACUGGAAAUUUUUUAACAAGAUAUCCAUUCAAGUUCCUUUUAACACAUGACACAUGACCCUAGGAGAGGAAACAGAAAAAAGAAAUUACCAAACAAUGAUUAAGAGGUAACACGUAAGAAGUAUACAUAGGAAAACAAAGUCAACAUGCCAAAUGCCUUGUAGAUCUGAAUUUUAUUUACAAUUCCUAUCAUGAUCUUAGACAAGCAAACGAUAGAAAAAUAAUAAUGAAUAGAGAAUAACGUACACCAGCAUUCAAUCAAAAAGAAUCAAGAAGAAAAAAACAAUAAUUAAGACGAAAACAUACCAUGAUGUUGGCAAAAUAGUAAAGGAAGCUAAAAAUCAAGAAGAAAACCAACCUUAAUUAAGAAAAAGGUUACAGAAAUUGUCAUUCUCUAUCAAAAAAUAAUGUAGCUAGUGCAAAACAGUACGAAAACUUGCAGGAUUAAGAUAUCUAUAAAGUGAGGGAAAGAAUGCAAGAGUAAUUCUGCUUUGCUUACCACUAGUUUCUGCAGGGGGACUCUGCACAGGAGAGGCAUCAGGGGUUAACCUAGUCUUUUCAGCUGUAAGAACAUUUGAAAGUGCAGCAACUGCUGCAGCUCUUUGGGAUCCUUGACUUGUUGAAGAAGGCUUGGGAACAGAUGAUUUGCUUCCAGAAGAUGAAUUAAAUGCAGAAGAUAAAGCGGCUAAAGCUUCAGCUCUUUGCCUUGGUCCUCCUUCGCUUGACCCAUUGGACUUAUCCUGGCCAUGUGAUUGCAUGUAAGUCGAUCUAUUUAAUGAGUGUCACACUUCAUGCAAACAUAAACAUGAAAAAAGAAAAGGUGCUAAGAUAUUACAAAAAAUAAGCAAAGAGGCACACAGAUCAAAUGAGCAAGUUCUAUGUUACACCUUAGGAUCUGCUCCAAUAUGUAAUAAUAGGACAUUUAUAGCAAGGAGAGGGGAUGCAAGAACCGGAGCACAGGAAGACUAGAGGAUGCACACUCGCUAGUGCAAUUUUUGCCGAUAUAAAACCACGGCUUGUUAACUAUGAGUCCCUAGUAUCUCUUUUAUGUCACAUAAGAAUCAUGUUUAGUAAAUUAAAAUUUCUCAAUUCAACUUUCCAUGCCGAUCACAUGAGUAUCUCAACAUUUUCUUUUCGAUAUAGGAGAACUGGAAGAGAGUCCGAAAUCUCAUUCAAUCGCCAUCAAAAUCUAUAUCCACAUUAUCAGAAAAAAAAAGUGCCUAUUACAGGUUCUGAUCGUCUGCAACACCUCAGGUGAAGAAAAGAAUCCACUAGAAUUAAAUGGUAUUGACACAAUAAAUUUUAAUUACCGUAGGGGGUGAUUUUCCAGGGGAAGAAUUGAAUGCAGAUGAUAGAGCCGCUAAGGCUUCAGCUCUUUGCCUUGGGCCUCCUUGGUUCCCAUCAGAUUUGUCCUGGCUCAGCAAUAGGAAUGCAUUGUUUGUGUAUUAGAGAGGAAUUAUAAAUGACAAUGCUAAAAGAUUAUCAAAUUUUGCCCGGUUUUUUCUGUUAAUGUAGUUGGAUUAUUUCAAAUUGUUAGGACUUGUGAAUAAUAAAAUGUUCUUCCAUACGUAACUCAUGAUGUGACAAGUUCCAAUAGACCAAGGAUUUUAGAUGUCCACACAAUGCAUUACGAUGCCCCAAACCCAUGCCAUUCCAAGCAAAAACAAAGAGGAAAGGGAAAUCGAAGUUUGAAGCCUUAAAUCACCACCAUUGCUUAAUCUUAUGCGGAUAAUAAUGUAAUACUUAUAUUCGUAGACUAUUUUCAUAUUAUCAUUAAGACAAGAAAUUGUAUAUUAAAACCACUGAUAAUGAUCCAUACAGAACCAGAUACUUGUAACAAGUAGUUUAAAAUGUAACAGCAUAUUCUAAAGGAAUUGGAGAGAAGAACAGGAUAUCGUGUAUCCAUUAAAUAUACUAGACACAGCUUACUAGAAGCUAUUCAGACACAACUAGCAACCCAGAUCAAGAUAUGACAUGUUUAGUAACAUAGAUAGCUUACCUCCACAGCAUGACCAACCCCAAACAGAAUGGACACCUUCUUCUGAAAUGAGUUUCCUUGAACCUACCAUUUAAUAAACAUACUAUUAAGAAAUACACAUGAAUAUAAUACAAGUAAUGCAUCCUUAUUAAUUUAAUUUGAAUUCUUAUACAACAGUAAUUAAAAAUGUUUGACCCUGUUUUCAUAUCAUCCUGCUUUCAGAGAUCAUGCUUUCACACAAUCUUUUGACAACAGAUUAAGUUUGUUGAAAGGAAGAACAUAAAUCUUAAGAAACUGCACUAUUAACAAACAUGAACACCAUUCCCUCCUUCAAGCCUACACAUGGUGCCUAAAACUGAAGCAGCAGCACGAUUCACACCACUCUCCUUGAAGCUUAGACAUGAUGCACGGGAGAAACCCAAUCCACAUGUUCAAAGCACUGUCACCAAUGACUUGUGCGAAUAUCCUCUAAAAGACUCGAGCUUCCACCUCCUAACAUCUAUCUUAGUUUCCAUCACUCUGACUUCAUCCAUGAGUUCCAGGAUACCUCUCACAUCUUUUGGACAUCCCCAUCAUCAAACUUGCUCUAACUUUACCAACAUAACUUUCAAAAAAAUUCAGCAUCUAAUAUAUAUGAUCAAAGGUCCAUUGGUAACAUAUUUACUCAUUGCCCUCAAUUAUCCACUAUACAAGGUUCAAAGUCACAAUACUCUUAUAAUAAAGAGGGAAGUAAGGAACUGCUUGGAUGGGCUAGGAAUGGUGCUUGGCAACAUUUCAGUGAUGGCAUGAAAUUAAUAUAUGUUGGUAUGUAUAUAUAUUUAUAUAUGUGUGUUUUAGAACAUACAUUAGCUUUUGCAAGAUCCCAUGAAAAGUAUGUUGUAAAGAAGCGAGGUUCAUUUCCUUCAGUAACUUUGUACAAUGGAACAUUAGGAGACAUCCCGUCCAGAGAUGCUGCCAUCUCUAUGUAUUUCUGCAUACAUCAUUUAGAAUCAGAGCAGAAUAUAUAUAUACAUACAGGAAUUCUCAGGUGCAGACGUCCGCACCAAAACUUUGGUGCGGAUUUCCAUUUUUGCACCACUUUUCGAUCGAAUUUUCUCAUCUCCACCGUCUAGUAUCUAGAUAAUAUUGUGUAGAUCAUCUCUGAAAAAUUUCACCUAAUUUGGUAAUCGUUAAGCCCCUCAAACUCGAAAAACAAAUGGACGGAUUGAAUUCUGUCUGGUUGUGUUCAUACCAGAAAAACUCGAGUUUGAGGAACUUAACGAUCACCAAAUUGGCUGAAAUUUUGCAGAGAUGAUCUACACAAUGUUAUCUAGAUACUAGACGGUGGAGAUGAGGAAAUUCGAUCGGAAAGUGGUGCAAAAAUGGAAAUCCGCACCGAAGGUUUCGGUGCGGACGUCCGCAGCCAAGAAGGGCUGUAUAUAUAUAUAUAAUAAAUAAAUAAACUAAAUAUCAAGGUAUACCUUGCCAAUUUCAAAAGCAUUUUGCUUUGCUUUCGAGUCUACACAUUGACCAACCCAAACAAAGACUUCAGCAUGUGUGUCAAGUAUAAGGAUAUCCUCUGUCAGUAGAUCAUCUUGAGUAAAGUUGUAAAUUUCUUCCACCUGUGCAGUAAGAUACAAAAGAAGAUUAGAAGCCACAGAUACCUGAGUCAAGUUUCAAUUAAAUAUAGUCUGUUACCUCACCUGAAACUUUCCUGGGGAACCCACAUGGAAACAAGGAAGACAAAAAUAAGAACAGUUAGAGCAGAAUUAGCUUGGCAAACAAUUUAAUCCAACUAAGAUGUCAAUUAAUUCAACAAAAAGAUAAACUUAAAGCAGCAGCGACUGAAGUAGUUGUACUUAUAAACAAAAUCAUCUACCUUUGUUGAAUGAGAAUGUGAAUAGGUGGGGAUCUCUGGAAAUUUCAGAAGCAACUUUAUUACUGGUGUAAUUUUGUUUCCCUCCUAGGGCAUGCCAGAACGUUGAGCUCUCAGUUCCUUCUUUAGCAUGUUUUAUAGUAACUCCUGGCUGUAUUAGCAAUGCAUAUAAGGCUCAAAUAGAUAAACAAUCCACACAACUAUGAGGUAAUCUAAGAAACCCAAAAUUUAAGACAUGUUUAGUGACUAAAUUCUAUAUAGUGCAGUCCUACACCAACUUGCUAUGUGUACUUUACUAAACCAUUUAUAAUAAAAAAGAUUUAAUAGAUAAUGUAACACAUAUGGCAGGAAGAGGAGGCCUCUUUCUGAAUAAGAAGUAUACCUUCAGAAAUUCUGCAAGUUUUGCUGCUAACUGUUGCUGCUCAACAGAGCAUUGAUUUCCAUUCCAAGCAAAAACUGAGGAGCCAGAUUGCAGAAGGAAACACUCAUUUGAGUUCAAUGACGUUGCCACCUGGACAUGAACAAAAUUAUAUGUACAUACAUAUGAGCUCAUUGUAUGUAUAUGGACAAGAGGCAAAUAUUGUCCAACUAGGAAAAAGAGUACAAAUAUAAUAUCCAGUACUGGACAAGAAGUCCACCUACAAAACUAAGAAAAGAAAAUAUUAUCUCCAAGCAUGCAGUUUCAUUUGAUCUUCCUUCUACAAACCCAUGCCACAAAAAUUAGUGACCAAACUGAAGCCCCUUAUAAGUAUGCAUAAGAAAGAAAGGAAUAUCUCUAAAUUCUGUAGAUACCAAUGCCUAGAGAGAUCAGAACCAUAUUCUAUCCCACAACGCAUCACCUCCUCCUCCACCUAUCCUUAAGCUGUCAAUCUAAAUUACUUCAAAUUUAAAAACAGUACACAAUGAACGUUGAGACAUUAAUUGCUCCUUUAUUGCUUAUUAUCACCUGAGUAUGCGUUAAUAAUACUGUAAAUGAGCACAUGUGACUUAAUCGGUACCCUUGGCCUUCCAAAUUAAAUAGGAAUGAAUUUAAAGAUAAAAUAGGUAAAGAUGGUUUUCCAACAAACAAUUAAAAUGACAUUUGUAACCUUAGAAACAUUAUGAAAUCAAAACUUUGGAUAUUAAAGGCCAGAAAUAAUUCAAAUAAAAGUGUCCCAUGAUUUGCCCUAAAAAACAAGAACUCUUCUUUACUGGGAAUAUAGAGAAAUAUUUGUAUGUUUUUCCGUAUUUCUGGAUGUUUACAUUUACAGAAUUACAGUAAUAUUUUGUAUGAUAUGAAAACUUUGGACAUAUGUGUAUCCCACAGCAGUUUGAUACUCUCUCAAGUUAUGGUCAGACUGAGUCCUUCCUAGUUAUCAUUCCAAACUAGCAAUUAGAUAAACAAUAACGUCACUUCCCUAGAAAAUCUAAAUAAUUUCAAACGUCAUUGUAGAAGAAAUUGUAUGUUUGUGCAAGUGUUAUGCAUGAUUAUAGAAUGAGCUUGUACCGCAUCAACUUGCACUGCUUUGUUGUUAUGAAUAGAGGUUCCAGAUAACCGAAAGAGUGCAACACAUUCUGCUGUGUACGUUUCAUCAGCUAACCCUUUCUCCUCAACAAAUUUUUUAUAUCCAGAGCUCAGGCCACCCUAAAUUGAAAGUCAAUGAAAUUAAACAGUUAACAUCCCUGUUUUUAAACUACACAAGUCGAUUUAGUAAUUACAUCGAAUCAUGAUGUGAAAAUGAAGGUUUUGCCCUUAGCUUAAACAUAAUACCUCGAGGACAACCAUAGGCUGAAAGAGCGCAAUAAACUGUGGUGGCUCUUUACCUUGGAAUAUGUGACCCUGCAAGAAGCCUGUAUGUUAUAUGCAUGUCCCAACGACACAUUCUCUGUCCAACUUGACUAAAAUUCACAAUAUAUUACCUGAACUGGUCUUCCCUUCAGUGAGUUGGACAUGGAAGUCGCCAAAUGAGAAGCUGUUUUCUGGUCCUCCUGAAAUAGGUGUGAAUGAAAUUCUUUAGCACACAACAGAUACUGCAGCUUAGAUUUGCCAAGUGAAGCACCAAAAAAGUAGAAGUAAUGUAAACAAGGCCAUAGUAUUGUACUUACUUUCUCCAUAAGGUAAACAACUUGAUCCUACUUAAAUAAUAGAUGGCUUGAAAGAAGAGAAGAGUAAACAAAGAACUAGAUCAACAUUCAUCUACUAAAUAUUCCCAGACUAAAUCUCUUCUAGAAAAAAAAAUAAAUAAAUAAAUUACACACUAAAUCAUUUACUUCUACUGCACUCCACCUCUCAAUGAAAUCAGGUCCUCCUCCUAAUAUGAAGAGUACUGGUAUUCCUCCCUAACCACAUCAUUCAAAAAACACCAAAACAUGUUUCGACAAUUCAUUUUCUUUCCACCCCCCCCCCUCCCCCUCCCUCCUCCUCCUCCUCCUCCUCCUCGCCAAAGCCACAAUGUCAAUUUACUUCUAUAUAAAUUGAAACGUGCACAUUUGUAUCUAUAUGUAGGAAAUGUAACAGAAAGCAGCCCCUAGUUUCAGUUAUUUGAAUUCUCCAACAGGAACAAAGCGAUUUACCUCAAUACUAUCUUUUCCGAACCAACAGCACAGAAAGUAGUCAUCUUUUCUGUCACCAGAGUGGUAGGUAUAAAGAAUUAUGUAGCAAUCUCCACUAAAAAAUUUGCCGAUAUCUUCCUUAGGUACUUGUGUUUUAGCACUGCCAUUGAUGCACCAUACCUGAAAAAAAUAAUUUAAAAAAAAUCAAUAUGCUGGAAUUUAUCAGCAAUGCAGCCUGUUUAAUUAAAUAAUUACUAGAAGUAUGAGAGAUCAAUAUCAACUAGACCUCCAUCUUUCCACCUCCUUCAAGCAAAGGUGGGACCUCUUCAUUUACGGGAGUACCCUUUGUCAUGCCCUUUACACCAAUACCUUGUUGCUUCAACAGAGCUAGCAGAAUACAAAUACGCUUUAUUAAUAAACCUAAUCAGAAAGCAUUAGAACUUAGUUCACAGUGUAGAAUUAUAAUUACCUGCUACUUUUCCUCUUCCCUCCUCAGAACCAGACGUUGCUGUUCCCAAUGGCCAAGAAUCAAAGUUGGACUUGAAUGAACGUGUCUCAUAACCUUGAAUAACCCGGGUUAUUCGUGUUGAUUUUGGUCUAUUCUGAUGAGACACAAAUUCCUGGUGACAGAAGUACGAUUAGAUUUAUACAUUUCACUGAAAAAUCACUGUUCAUCAGCGUGAAGAAACGAGUACAGCUCACUACCUCAGCUGCUUGGCUAGCAGCUUUUCUGUCCUCCACUUGUGUCAACCGACCAAACCAAACAAAUACCUCGGAACCACAGUCCAGUAAGUAACAUUUGUUGUUUUCAAGCAAGGAUUUAGAUAGUUCACCUUCUACAAUCUUCACUUCAGCAUCAGUUAUGCUGUAAAAACCAGUGGUAAAAGGUUAGAACCUCAAAAGUAAAACACAAAAUGGUUUAAAUACUGGCCAGUCCAUUAGUAAUUUCGGCACAAUGACACUAGAAGCUGGGGGGAAGGUCAAAGGGAACAGCAGCAUGCCAUUGAAACUUUUAUUUUUUCUUUAAACCGGUAGAAACUCGAGAACUUUUUACAACUUUAAGUUCUCGCUUAAAAUUCAACCCUAAAUGCCGAGGUUUACAACUUCAACAGUUUCAAAAUGUAAUAAACUAUUUUCUAAUUCAAGUUGAAAAACAAAAUGACCUCAACUACAAGGCAAAAAUUGUAUUCAUUAUUGUUACUUGGCUACUUCUAGAGCUGAUGCUUCACCUUGAGAGCAAGUAGAGAACGAGCAGUGAAUACUAAGGCACUCUAACUAAUAUAUUUUUUUUCCAAUUAAUAGAUUUAUUGUUAGAUUCACAUAAGCUUGUAUAAAAUAAUUUAGAAUAGAUGUGUGGUUUGGCAAUCCAAUAUAACACAAUGGUGUGGAGCAUGAUUGAAUCCAUAGACAAGUAUGAGAACAAAAAACGAUAAUCUUUUGAGUUUAUAGAUCAGCAUAUGCCGAUUAAUUAACAAUGGCAUGCAAAGACUUGCAAAGGAACCUGCAUACACGAGAUGAGAUGGGGAAAGAAUAAAAGAAUAUCAGAAUACCUAUAAAGUGUAGCAGGAGUGGACUCAGGAAUUACAUCAUCUUCAUUGGCAAUCUUCUUGCUAAUCGGAGCAAAACCACCCAUUAGGACCCAGAACUCACCAGAGUCAGAUUCUGUGUCUAGCUUCCCAUCAUCUGGCAUGGUGAAGAUUGUUUUUCAGAAAUAAGUAAAGGGUAAGGAUGACAAAGCACAGAGAUGUUAGGUAAGAAUAGGGAUUAGAUUAUGUAGGUUCCUCCAGGACAAGAGGCGAUCCCAUACGAAGUGUGUGGGGUUGUUGCAUACAAAGAUACCGUAUAUUCACUUACCAACUAUUGCAACAUCACAUGUCCCAUUGUGAUACUUUUCUUUCAAAUACUGAAUCACUUCCAAAGCCUUCGCCCUUUCCUGAAUAUUGGAAUUCGCACCAUUGAACUGAAAGAUCUUAUCCUUGCUGUCCAGGAUGAACACAUCAUCAUGAUUCAGUGACGAACGCGCAAAAGGAACCUGCAUAAUUGCACUAAGAAGUUAUUACUGUAAUCUUCAGAACACAUAAAAUGAAGAAAAUUUGAAUUCAAGACUGUAUUUCAAAGAAGGAUACCUGCUUCAUUCUGACAACUCGUUUUCCUCUGCAGAUAUACAGUCGAGUUUCAAAUUCUUCUUCCUCAGGCUUUUUAAAUCCUGAUGCAACGCCACCCUCCAAUGGUAUAAUACAUGGUUUGAAGUAGGACAAAAAUUUAUCAGAUUCAUGGCCUUGAAUUUCCCUAUGUUGUACGGCGCGUCCUCCAAGAGCUGUAUCUAGUUCAACCGUUUUAAUAGCUGCUGUCCCAGCUUCAUCCUAUAAUAAGAGAAGACAGGACACAAAGUCAGACCAAGUUUCGAGUACCUCUUCUAUAUAUACAGAUAUAUGAAUAAAAUACAUACAUAUAUAAAAGUAUAUGUGUGUGUUGUGUGUCCGUGUGUGUGUGUGUAGAGAGAGAGAGAACGAGAAAGAGAGGAGGGGGAGAGAGAGAGAGAGAGAGAGAGAGAGAGAGAGAGAGAGACAGNGNGAGNGAGNGNGNGNNGNGANNGANNAGAGNNGAGAGAGAGAGAGAGAAGCACACCUGACUUGUGUCCUUCCCAAUCCAGAAGUGGAUGUCAAACAGAUAAGCGCCCCCUUUGUUUUGUGUUGUCUGCAAUAUGUGUCACAUAAUUGCAUAAAACUUACGGCUGGAACAGCCUUUUUAUUUUUAAGUUAAUAAUAAAAAAUUAAAAAUUUACUUCUGCAAUUCUCAGAAGAAAUAAUACCACACAAACAAACAUAACUCUUUGUUAAUGUUCUUGCAAGGAAAAAUCAUCCCGAUAAAAUAAAAAUAAACAAAAUGUAAUGAAAAACUGAAAACAAUUCACACCUGCAAAACAAUAUAAGAAUCCCCCAUAUAGAAUUUUCCAUGUUCAGAUUUCGGCAAAGGAACUGGCUGGAAAUCUUCAAUUCGCCAAAUCUCAGUCCCUCUAUUAUGUGUCAAGUUCAACAACCUCAACUUUGGACAUACUUAGCGGUAGUUAAAAUAAUACCAAAAGAAGUUGCAUAUUCCAAAACUGGCUAAAGGUAUAUUCUGCUUUACUAUUCUAUCUAUGACAGCAAAACCAUAACCCAACUAUUUUGGGUCAGCUACAUGAGACCUGGUCCUCCAAACAGUACUAUCCAAGGUCAUAAUUUAUUCAAGUCACUUUUCAUUUUAGGCUUUGAGUGGAAGUAAUUUUUUUUACUAUCCAGUCUAACUAGUUUUUUUUAUUUUUUAUUUUUAAAUGAAAUCUUAAUACUCCCUAAAAGGAUACACUCUUUGACCUGCUCCCUGAAAAGCUGGAUCCAUCGCUUUUGUAGAACUAGCCAUUGCCCGAUCCCUUGUUGUGAUGUUUCCUUCAGCAGGGAAGACUUUGAAUCCUGUGAUUCAAUACCUCAAUGUUUCACCAGAGAUUACUGCGAGGGAAAAAGAAAAAAGUCAAGACACAAACAAAAGGAGUUUUGUUACAAAGGCAUGAAAAUUAAAGAAGGAAACACACGAAGCACUGCCAAAACGAAUGGUCCAUCAUUAUCUAGUGUCAACGUUCGAGACUUGAGAGCUGCCCAGAAUUUAACUACUUUAUUUAUUGACAUUACGGAAAUGGUAACAUGAUCAUCAUUUAUUAUUGAAUCCAAAGUUUGAGAAAAGCAUUAAUAAUCUUUGUUGCCAGUACAUGUAUCAGCAUUGGUACUCAAAGGAGCACUUUUUCACCCAACAAUAAAUAAAUAAAAAAGCAGAACUUCAAUAUCGCUAUGCCAAUAGCGGAUGUUAAAAGACCUAUUUCAUCACCGUUCCAAAUUUCCAGAACAUACCACAUCUGGCUCAGUAUAUCUACUAGCAACCCACUGAUUUUUGCAUAUAUAAUAUUUUACAUCAAACAGGCCCAAGUGUUCUUAGACAAAAGAAACAGAUAUGUAUAAUGAUGUUAUGCAUGAGAAAGAGUGUCAAGGAGUGCACUGUAUAAUAAGUUUGAAGGUCUGACACAGUUGAUAUGUCUGAGUCCAUAAACAACAGGGUCAUCUUCUAUCUUACUAGAGAUGUUCAGAUAUAUAAAUCAGGGACACCCUUUCCUGGACUAGUAUCACAAGUGAGAUAUCUCCACCAAGACAUUACCUGAAAACAUAAUCGGUAUAUAACUCACAGACAAUAAAUCAUUGCUUCUACUCUUGCUUUCCAAGAGGCAGGAAUUUGAUCCAUAUAUUCUUUCAAGGAGCUUAUCAAUCCUCUGCUGAGACCCUCGUCUUCAAGCUUUAUCCCGGGUAGCUUCUUUACUUGAUAAUAUUGCAUUGGUACUGAUACAAUUACCUAAGCUCCAACCUGACUAUUAAUACAUAGAAGCUUUCCCCCACACCCCCCAUCCCCCGCCCUUGAUUUCUUUCUCUCGCACUUUUUUAUUUGGGGUCUUCUUCUGUGGUUAGCAUUUGAGCAAACAGGCAGAUGCUGUGUCAAUCCCAUUAGAUAGUAGUUGACCCAAUGACCAUUUAGUCCUAAAAACUCCACAUCCAUACUUGUUUCCUAGUUAAUUUCAAUAACACAUUCUGUUAUUGCCACAGUGAAGCAUAUGCAGGUUGUCUAGAUGACACAUCACCAAGUUGUGAACCUUACAUGUAAUUACUGAGACCAUACGAGGGGAAUCCUCAAUCAGAACUCUCUUUGGAUCAUAACAUUGCUAAAUCCAACUUAAAACCACCAACGAGAAAAUUACUUCCCUGAUCUUAAACAGAAUUCCAAUAAGUGAAAGGUCCCCAAGAACUGAAAUAUAUGGCAUGUGAUCAACACGACUUUAGGACGGCUAACUGAAUAAAGUAUCAAACCCAAAUUCAUGGUGUUUUCUAGCAGCGAUGCUAUGUCUCAGAUUACACCACAUCAAAAUGUAGUAGGCUAAAAUCACACACAGAAAGUGAUUCAUCAAAGGCAUUACAAAAUUCAAUCACUUGGUUAAUAAUUAAGAUCUUCCGGCUUUCUUAGCUCGAUCACUUGCCUAAUCAUAUCAAUAUAAGGAGCACUAAAAGAAUUCAAACAAAGAAAAGUGGACGAAACCAAAAGGCGAGAUCAAACAUACAUGAUCAAACAAGUAACAAGCAAGAAUUUAGGCCAAAGACCAAUACAUCACAUCAUGAUCAGAUCAAAUAAUCAGUUCAGUCUAUCAUAACCGAAACACAAAAACAACCACAACCCAUUAAAAUCGAACACAAACCCAUAAAAACCCAGAUUAAGAUAUCCACAAUCGUAAACAAGACAACGAUCAGAGCUAGAGAGAUCAAAUUGAAAANNNNNNNNNNNNNNNNNNNNNNNNNNNNNNNNNNNNNNNNNNNNNNNNNNNNNNNNNNNNNNNNNNNNNNNNNNNNNNNNNNNNNNNNNNNNNNNNNNNNNNNNNNNNNNNNNNNNNNNNNNNNNNNNNNNNNNNNNNNNNNNNNNNNNNNNNNNNNNNNNNNNNNNNNNNNNNNNNNNNNNNNNNNNNNNNNNNNNNNNNNNNNNNNNNNNNNNNNNNNNNNNNNNNNNNNNNNNNNNNNNNNNNNNNNNNNNNNNNNNNNNNNNNNNNNNNNNNNNNNNNNNNNNNNNNNNNNNNNNNNNNNNNNNNNNNNNNNNNNNNNNNNNNNNNNNNNNNNNNNAAAGAUAGUUGGAAGGAAGAAAAAAAAAAAGUGAAUUAUUGCUGCCUGUGUGUGUGGGCUUCUCUCUCUUAACUUUUGCCUUUUGAGAUUUCUGAUUCAAUGAGAGAGGAAAAAGCAGACAGCGAGUUGCAGAGAAGAAGAAGAAGAAAACAGAGAACGACGGAAGAAGAAUGAAAGAAUUAUAUGAUGACGAGGAAGAUGCAGAAGAAGAAGAAGAAGAAAUGAGGGAAGGGAAAUGAUAGGGGAGACAGAGAGAGGUUUGGGUAAUAAAGUGGUUAUAUUUAAGGCAAAGAUCCGGUGACGGUGGCACCGGCCAUGUUGGCUUUUACAACUUUUGCUAGUUUGGAUUUUCGGAUUUUGGACCUUGUAUUACAUUUUGGACCUCCUCUUGUGUUCAGCUAGAGAACGAUUAACUUUCUUUCACUGCAAGAAAUAGCCACCCCCAAAAAAAUGGUGGUGCGGCCAUUGACAC
Molecule: long non-coding RNA, 16263 nt
Filed under: Fragaria vesca (wild strawberry)
Lineage: Eukaryota; Viridiplantae; Streptophyta; Magnoliopsida; Rosales; Rosaceae
Description: long non-coding RNA (FVES_LNC003347)
Source: RNAcentral